Molecule: ribosomal RNA, 460 nt
Filed under: Acetobacter estunensis
Lineage: Bacteria; Pseudomonadati; Pseudomonadota; Alphaproteobacteria; Acetobacterales; Acetobacteraceae
Description: bacterial SSU rRNA
Rfam family: Bacterial small subunit ribosomal RNA
Source: RNAcentral
CCUACGGGGGGCAGCAGUGAGGAAUAUUGGUCAAUGGACGCGAGUCUGAACCAGCCAAGUAGCGUGAAGGAUGACUGCCCUAUGGGUUGUAAACUUCUUUUAUAUGGGAAUAAAGUUUUCCACGUGUGGAAUGUUGUAUGUACCAUAUGAAUAAGGAUCGGCUAACUCCGUGCCAGCAGCCGCGGUAAUACGGAGGAUCCGAGCGUUAUCCGGAUUUAUUGGGUUUAAAGGGAGCGUAGGUGGACAGUUAAGUCAGUUGUGAAAGUUUGCGGCUCAACCGUAAAAUAGCAGUUGAUACUGGCUGUCUUGAGUACAGUAGAGGUGGGCGGAAUUCGUGGUGUAGCAGUGAAAUGCUUAGAUAUCACGAAGAACUCCGAUUGCGAAGGCAGCUCACUGGACUGCAACUGACACUGAUGCUCGAAAGUGUGGGUAUCAAACAGGAUUAGAUACCCCAGUAGUC